AAAACACUCAACUUGCGGAGAUAGGAAAUGUACUCACAUAUCGUACUACGGUUCGACAAAAUGUAUCCCGCAAGUCAAAUUGUUCAAACCUUUCAAACACUACGGUGUUGAGUACAAGAAGUCGAAGAAAACUUGUGGUGACGACAAAAGGAACUAUGGACGAGGGGAUAUCCUGGUUCCAGACCCGCACAGAUCACACGAUUUAAUCGAUGACUCUUGCAAAUGUCAAACUAUCUGGUGCUUGGAUGAAAUUAUGACAAUUUAUGAAAAAGGUGGCAAAUUGUUCAAAGGAAACGUCACAGUGAAGACUCCGUGCAAAUGUGAAUGCAGAAAGAGAUUCAUUAUGAUGGGACCUCAUGGCGGCGGC
Styela clava is the source of this 367-nucleotide non-coding RNA. Lineage: Eukaryota; Metazoa; Chordata; Ascidiacea; Stolidobranchia; Styelidae. The record is from RefSeq and is a predicted model, not a curated record.